This 1242-nucleotide ribosomal RNA is filed under the name metagenome. RNAcentral describes it as "bacterial LSU rRNA". It matches the Rfam family "Bacterial large subunit ribosomal RNA", at positions 1567 to 2818 of the family's 2925-position model. The record is from RNAcentral.
UGACGAGCGGCACUAUGCUGCGAAGUGAUUGACGCCAUGCUUCCAAGAAAAGCUCGCAAUGUCAUAAGUAAAAAAUGCCUGUACCAUAACCGACACAGGUGGGUAGGUAGAGUAUACUAAGGGGCGCGAGAUAACUCUCUCUAAGGAACUCGGCAAAAUGACUCCGUAACUUCGGGAGAAGGAGUGCCUUAUUUAUAAGGUUGCAAUAACAAGAUCCAAGCAACUGUUUAUCAAAAACACAGGUCUCCGCUAAGUCGUAAGACGAUGUAUGGGGGCUGAUGCCUGCCCAGUGCCAGAAGGUUAAAGAAGUUGGUUAGUGUAUGCGAAGCUGAUGACUGAAGCCCUGGUGAACGGCGGCCGUAACAAUAACGGUCCUAAGGUAGCGAAAUUCCUUGUCGGGUAAGUUCCGACCCGCACGAAAGGCGUAAUGAUUUGGAUACUGUCUCGGAGAGAGGCUCGGUGAAAUAGACUUGUCUGUGAAGAUGCGGACUACCUGCACCAGGACAGAAAGACCCUAUGAAGCUUUACUGUAACUUGAAAUUGGAAUUGGACUUUGCUUGCGCAGUAUAGGUGGGAAGCGUUGAAGAUAUUCUUGCGGGAGUAUUGGAGCUAUCAGUGAGAUACCACUCUUGUAAUGUUAGAUUUCUAACUUUGAACCAUAAUCUGGUCAAAGAACAGUUUCAGGUGGGCAGUUUGACUGGGGCGGUCGCCUCCCAAAUGGUAACGGAGGCGUACAAAGGUUUCCUCUGAACGGAUAGAAAUCGUAUCUAGAGUGUAAAGGCAUAAGGAAGCUUGACUGUGAGACCUACAAGUCGAGCAGGGACGAAAGUCGGUCUUAGUGAUCUGACGGUACUGAGUGGAAAGGCCGUCACUCAACGGAUAAAAGUUACUCUAGGAUAACAGGCUGAUCUCCCCCAAGAGUUCACAUCGACGGGGAGGUUUGGCACCUCGAUGUCGGCUCAUCGCAUCCUGGGGCGGUAGUACGUCCCAAGGGUUGGGCUGUUCGCCCAUGAAAGCGGUACGCGAGCUGGGUUCAGAACGUCGUGAGACAGUUCGGUCCAUAUCCGGUGUAGGCGCUAGAAUAUUGAGAGGAGCCUUCUUUAGUACGAGAGGACCGAGAAGGACACACCGCUGGUGUACCAGUUAUCGUGCCAACGGUAAACGCUGGGUAGCUAUGUGUGGAGUGGAUAACCGCUGAAAGCAUCUAAGUGGGAAGCCCACCUCAAGAUGAGUAUUCUCAUC